UGCCGGAUGGCGCAGUGGUUAACGCACCUGUCUAGUAAGGAGGAGGGCCUGGGUUCGAAUCCCGGCCCGGUAC
Non-coding RNA from Schistocerca americana (American grasshopper), 73 nucleotides. Lineage: Eukaryota; Metazoa; Arthropoda; Insecta; Orthoptera; Acrididae. The record is from the annotation of a RefSeq genome assembly.